This 1961-nucleotide long non-coding RNA is filed under the name Homo sapiens (human). RNAcentral describes it as "non-protein coding lnc-ATP6V0E2-2:7". Lineage: Eukaryota; Metazoa; Chordata; Mammalia; Primates; Hominidae. The record is from RNAcentral.
GGCUCUCAGUCCCCGCCUCGCGGGGGGUGCCUCCCACCUCUGCGAUGGGGGUCCUAAGAGCCAGUGGGGGAACCAGGGGCUGGCUCUCAAUCUCUGCCUCGGGGGGGUGCCUCCCCCCUCCUGCGAUGGGGGUACCAACAGCCAGGGGCGGAAGAGGGGAUAGCUCUCAGUCCCCACCCUCGUGGGGUUGCCUCCCCCUCCUGCGAUGGGGGUCCUAAGAACCCGGGGGGGAAGAGGGACUGGCUCUCAGUCCCUGCCUCGCGGGGGUGCCUCCCCCCCUGCGAUGGGGGUACUCACAGCCAGGGGCGGAAGAGGGGAUAGCUCUCAGUCCCCACUCUCGUGGGGGGUGCCUCCCCCUCCUGCGAUGGGGGUCCCCAGAGCCAGGGGGGGAAGAGGGACUGGCUCUCAGUAAUCCCACGUAAGGUACCUGCCGUCGGAAGAUUUGAACUUUCUACUUGGACAACUAACACCCACAGUCCUCCAGGUGGGUCCUAAGGAUCUUAGGAUCAACGAUGGGGGGUCCUAAGCCGGGGGGGAAGAGGGUCUGGCUCUCAGUCCCCACCCUCGCGGGGGGUGCCUCCCCCUCCUGCGAUGGGGGUCCCCAGAGCCAGGGGGGGAAGAGGGACUGGCUCUCAGUCCCUGCCUCGCGGGGGGUGCCUCCGCCCCCAGCGAUGGGGGUCCUAAGAGCAAAGGGGGGAAGAGGGGCUCGCUCUCAGUCCCCGUGUCGUGAGGGGUGCCUCCUCCCCUGCGAUGAGGGUGCAAAGAGCCAGGGGAGGAAAGGGGGAGGUUCGCAGUCCCCGCCUCGCGGGGAUUGCCUCCCCCACUGCGAUAGUGGUCCCAAGAGCCAGGCGGGGAAGAGGGGUUGGCUCUGAGUCCCCGCCUCGCGGGGGGUGCCUCCCCCCACUGCGAUGGGAGUCCCAAGAGCCAGGGGGGAAGAGGGGAUGGAUCUCAGCCAUCACAAAAUGGGGGGCCUUUAUAUUCAGGUUUUACCCAAGAAUCAGCUUAUUUGCUUCUUGUACUAGCAGGGCAGUUGCUGCCAAGGCCCUCUAAUAGGGGGGCCAUCCUUUAGAAACCUGUCUAGUUGUUUAGAGACGUAGGCUACCGGCCUCAGCCAGGGCCCCACAGUUUGGGUUAAAAGUCCAGCUGCCAUCUUUUCUCUCUCUGACGCAUACAAUGGAAAAGGCUUUGUCAGAUCGGGUAGCCCCAGGGCUGGGGCUGCCAGAAGUUUUUCCUUUAACUAAUGAAAGACUUGCUGUUGUCGGGAUCCCCAUUUCAAAGUUUCCGGGUCCCCGCCCCCUUUGUGACCUCAUACAAAGGCUUGGCUAAUACUGCAAUGUUUGGGAUCCACAGUCUACGAAACCCCACAGCUCCUAAGAAUUCUCUCACCUGCCUUCUGCCCUUAAGCUCCGGUAGAUUGCAAAUAACCUGCUUUCUUUCUGUUCCCGAGCUGCGUUCGGACCCAUGUCUUAUUGUAAAUCCCACGCAAGGUACCUGCCGUCGGAAGAUUUGAGCUUUCUUCUUGAACACCUCAUACCCACAGUCCUCCAGGCGCCAGUGGGAUCAAGAGAGGGCAACAUUGCAACUCUCCAUGCUCCUGCAAUAUCCAUGGCUAUUCUGUAGACAGAAAGACAACAGGUACAAAGCCCUAAGGAUUAUAAAGGUAUGCUGCUUACCAUCAUCUUAGUGACCAAGGCAGCGAAGCUGUUUCUGUACCUUGGAACAGUCUUCCCUGACAAGCCAGAGAACAGUGAUAAAGCCACCAGCCUUGGGAUCAGGACUGAAAAGGCAAGAGUGAUGGAGAUUUCUCCUGCGCUAAGCCAAGAGAAGGUUUCAGCACUUCAGACAGCUCCCACCGAAGUAGCCGCGCUCCCAGCUGCUUGCAGAUGUUGAAAAGGAAAGCCUCGGUUUGUCUUGAGGUUGUCAGCAGGUGCAAGACACGUAAUAAAAUGCAAUGUGUUCCU